RNAcentral lists this ribosomal RNA (494 nucleotides) under uncultured bacterium. Its description in RNAcentral is "partial 16S ribosomal RNA". It matches the Rfam family "Bacterial small subunit ribosomal RNA", at positions 28 to 507 of the family's 1533-position model. The record is from RNAcentral.
GACGAACGCUGGCGGCGUGCUUAACACAUGCAAGUCGAACGGAAAGGCCUGUCCUUCCUUGUGUUGGACGGGUACUCGAGUGGCGAACGGGUGAGUAACACGUGAGUGAUCUGCCCCCAACUUGGGUAUAAGCCUGGGAAACUGGGUCUAAUUCCCGAUAGGACUGCAGGGUGGUGCCUGUGGUGGAAAACGAUUUUCUAGUGGUUGGGGAUGAGCUCGCGGCCUAUCAGCUUGUUGGUGGGGUAAUGGCCUACCAAGGCGGCGACGGGUAGCCGGCCUGAGAGGGUGGACGGCCCCAUUGGGACUGAGAUACGGCCCAGACUCCUACGGGAGGCAGCAGUGGGGAAUAUUGCACAAUGGGCGGAAGCCUGAUGCAGCGACGCCGCGUGGGGGAUGACGGCCUUCGGGUUGUAAACUCCUUUCGACCGCGAGGAAGCCGCCUGGUUGGAAGGGUGGUGACGGUAGUGGUAGAAGAAGCACUGGCUAACUACGUG